CAGCGUCUUUAUUGACAGAGUGCACAGUAGCUGCGAGUAGAAUAGGCCAGAAAAUAUAGGAAUAUUUAAAUGGAAGUCAAAAAGAUAUAGACUGGGAGUGCAAGAGGCACUAGUAGUGUGUAGAUAGUAGUGCUGAACUUAAAUGAUGAUGUUUUUCUAGAUGAGGUCAUCAUCUAAUACGCCCUCCCCAUUACACCAGUGAAUGAGUGUAUGGCCAUGUGUGAAUUCUGAUGAAAUAUUUGUCAGUCAGGGGAUGUUUCUUAUGUUUACUCCUACAAGUACGGAGGCUAAAUCACUUGUGUCAGGAUGAUAUGAGUAAACUGAAGGUCACUUUCAGCAUGCUUUAGCAUGCCUGGGAGGCGCUGCUGAUAAGGAAAAAGACAAAGAGGACAAAAGUAAAAUUAACUUUUAAUUUCCCACCAAACUAUGACAGUCAGAAACAAGGAGAUGAGUGAAAUCUCUUGCAACAUUCAGCACAGAACUGUAUAUAAAGCAACUUAUCUGAUUCAGCCCAUCACUGAGGCAGAGUAUGUAAUGCUGUUUGUGCAAGUAUAAAAAUGUAUGGAUCUUAACAUGUAACUCAGAAAAACUUUAGUGACACCUCCUUAGAUGAAUACAUAAAUCAGAUCUAUUCAUUUCCUUUUCAGAAUGCUUUGGUGGAUGCUUACAAAGAAGACUUAUUUACAUGCUGAUAGAAGGUCCAGCUGACCCAGGAGAAAGAAGUCUUAAGAAUUUGUCCUUCAUCCAACUAUUGCAAAAACAAAGUGAAGAACUCAACUCAUGCAAAUUAGAAGACUGAGCAGACAGAGGUCCAGAUUCCAUACGUACACACUGUGCCAGAGCUCUGUUGGAGAAACUGGUAGGGAAAGAGCCGAAAAAAGGUAUUGCUCUAAUUUCCAAUCUGCAAAAGUGAAGUGCAGACAGACAAAGCUCUUUUCCCGGUAUUACAGAAGUCUGCAGGAGAAGCAGGAGUUUAAGCUCCUGCCUCCCAGCUGAAGCCGAUCUACAAGACUGUAUUUAUUCUAUAAUCUGUUUUUAUGCUCUUAUCUAUUUAAUCUUCCUCUCGCACCAGUUUUUAUAAGUAUGUCUCCACAGAGAACCUCCAGCACAAGAAAUAUUUCUGCAGAUGAACCCUGAUGUUUUAUAGUAACGCUGUAUAAUCACUGCGUGGGAGGCACUCGGAGUUAAAAUAGUGCAAAAUGCCGUUAGGGGUAAAUCGCUUCAGUGCAGGGAAGUCAGGUUAGCUAUCUGCUUAUUGCUGCCUUUUCAUCCUUCGCAGUCAGCAGCAGUGGCUCUUUCAGCAUUACAUAAUGUUACAUAUGUUGAGCCAGAUUGCGGGCUUCUGCCCGGGGAGCAGCAAGCACUGCCCCCUCAGUGGGAGUCAGAGGAAAGCCCUCAGGAGUCCCGCUUGGGAUUUUCCAAUGCUGCUCUGUGGGCAUGAGGAACUUUGGCCUGCUCUCUGUGCCUAGAUGCACACAUGCACCACCUCCUCCCAUAGUGUGCCUCUCCUCUCCAUUUUUCCCUUUAUUCCUUUCUGAAUAGAGGGGAUCAGUUUCAGCUGCUGGCUGGCAGGAGGGGAUGCAUGAACAGCACCGUGCCCUGCAGCCAUCCCUCACAUUUGCUGCGGGAAAAUGCACUGUGGGGGAUGUUAUUCCAUGGCUUACAGCUGCAGUAAGGAAAUACACUAAAAUUAAAGGCCAGGCAUGGGAUUGAUGGAUUUGGUCCUGUGCGACUCACUCGCUCUGUCAGUGAGCAUACCAGUUACUUCACGGGUUAUUUGUUUAAGCUGAAGAUUCCACUUCUGCUUAAUUGCACUGUAUGUGCACCUCAAAAACGGCUGCAGUUCCAAAUUUAUAAAACAGCACUAUACAGAAUAUAGGCCUAUCAAUUUCACAGUCUAGUUUCUGAUUAGAUUUUACAGCACCUCUGACGAACUGCAUAGAUUUUCCCCAUUAAAAAUGAUGACAAUUCAGUUCUGUCAUUUUAAGUGGAAUUAAAUCCAGCAUUGCCAAGAAUGAUAAUAUCCUUAAAAAAAAAAAAAAAAAUAAAAAAUCAACAACCCACGUACA
Long non-coding RNA from Coturnix japonica (Japanese quail), 2069 nucleotides. The record is from Ensembl. Lineage: Eukaryota; Metazoa; Chordata; Aves; Galliformes; Phasianidae.